CUGCUGCAUAGGAUAUUAGAAAUCUGACAAAUGACCCAGGAAUUCCAGUUUCUGCUUCCACGUUUUCAUGUUGAGGGCAUAGUGCUAUAAUUCAAGUUCCUUUUCUGUGACCUGGCCUAUGUUUGAAGAGAGAAAUGAAGCUAAACAAGGUAAUUUCUGAAGAAUGAUUAUAGAUGCGUGAAAACAGAGGUUAUGCUCAUCUUUAUAUUUCCUGGAGCAAGCGCAGAAAGCAGAAAAGUAAUGCCUUUGCCAGUAAGACACCAAUAUUGGAAAUCAGAUGGAUUGAGUCCCUGCUGAGUGGCCAUUAAGGGAAGCACGGUCUGCUAGGUCUUCAUACUGAUGUUUUCAACACCGUUGGAAGCAUAACUAUCCGCACUGAUGACUGGGCAACAACACUUUGGUCUACCAGCCAGCUCCAGGGCUUCAACUAAUUUUUAUUAUCAACAAGAUUAUUUUCAGGAUUCAAGUUCAACACAAGAUUCAGGAGUCUAAAGCUAUGUCCCUCUUCCCUCUGUUGAUGCUAAAACCAUAGCAGUAACAAGUCUUGACUUUCCUCAUCCCAACCCUGGCCAGAUCCUCUUUUUCACCAUGAAGUGCCUCUUGGACCAGAACUAUGAAAAAAGCUGUAGACACCCAUUUUCUUGAUUCAGAGAACCCAGUCUACUUCCUCCAAGUUUUGAAAGCGAAGAACAAAGUCCAACUGACCUCAGUGUCCUUGGACUUAAUGAUACCCAGGGCCCAACCAGAAUGAGAGUCUCUGUGAAUGAAGCACAUGCCAAUUUUGGUUAUAACUUGUCUAUUAAAUAACAUUUUUGUGUUGAAUACAUGUUGUGACAUCUACUCAGUAAUUAACUCCAGGGAAUUUCAAAUUCUUGGGGAGGCUGUAAUGGGUGGGCAGUUCACACAAUAUUCACUAUGUAUUCCUUGCAAGUCUAAGUGAACCAAAUUUCUCAUUUGAAUCUGCCUUCUGAAAAUUCUUUCCCAAUUCUCUCUAUUCUUUUCCCUAUG
Long non-coding RNA from Myotis daubentonii (Daubenton's bat), 1008 nucleotides. RefSeq lists it as uncharacterized. The record is from RefSeq and is a predicted model, not a curated record. The transcript is spliced from 6 exons. Lineage: Eukaryota; Metazoa; Chordata; Mammalia; Chiroptera; Vespertilionidae.